GGAAUAUUGGACAAUGGGCGCAAGCCUGAUCCAGCCAUACCGCGUGGGUGAGGAAGGCCUUCGGGUUGUAAAGCCCUUUUGUUGGGAAAGAAAUCCAGCCGGCUAAUACCUGGUUGGGAUGACGGUACCCAAAGAAUAAGCACCGGCUAACUUCGUGCCAGCAGCCGCGGUAAUACGAAGGGUGCAAGCGUUACUCGGAAUUACUGGGCGUAAAGCGUGCGUAGGUGGUCGUUUAAGUCCGUUGUGAAAGCCCUGGGCUCAACCUGGGAACUGCAGUGGAUACUGGACGACUAGAGUGUGGUAGAGGGUAGCGGAAUUCCUGGUGUAGCAGUGAAAUGCGUAGAGAUCAGGAGGAACAUCCAUGGCGAAGGCAGCUACCUGGACCAACACUGACACUGAGGCACGAAAGCGUGGGGAGCAAACA
Molecule: ribosomal RNA, 424 nt
Filed under: uncultured bacterium
Lineage: Bacteria
Description: bacterial SSU rRNA
Rfam family: Bacterial small subunit ribosomal RNA
Source: RNAcentral